GACGAACGCUGGCGGCGUGCCUAAUACAUGCAAGUCGUGCGGACCUUUUAAAAGCUUGCUUUUAAAAGGUUAGCGGCGGACGGGUGAGUAACACGUGGGCAACCUGCCUGUAAGACUGGGAUAACGCCGGGAAACCGGGGCUAAUACCAGAUCGUUUUUUUCCUCCGCAUGGAGGAAAAAGGAAAGGCGGCUUCGGCUGUCACUUACAGAUGGGCCCGCGGCGCAUUAGCUUGUUGGUGGGGUAACGGCUCACCAAGGCAACGAUGCGUAGCCGACCUGAGAGGGUGAUCGGCCACAUUGGGACUGAGACACGGCCCAAACUCCUACGGGAGGCAGCAGUAGGGAAUCUUCCGCAAUGGACGAAAGUCUGACGGAGCAACGCCGCGUGAGUGAAGAAGGCCUUCGGGUCGUAAAACUCUGUUGUUGGUGAAGAAGGAUAGAGGUAGUAACUGGCCUUUAUUUGACGGUAAUCAACCAGAAAGUCACGGCUAACUAC
RNAcentral lists this ribosomal RNA (496 nucleotides) under uncultured bacterium. RNAcentral describes it as "bacterial SSU rRNA". It matches the Rfam family "Bacterial small subunit ribosomal RNA", at positions 28 to 504 of the family's 1533-position model. The record is from RNAcentral.